This 501-nucleotide ribosomal RNA is filed under the name uncultured bacterium. RNAcentral's name for it is "partial 16S ribosomal RNA". It matches the Rfam family "Bacterial small subunit ribosomal RNA", at positions 30 to 523 of the family's 1533-position model. The record is from RNAcentral.
AUUGAACGCUGGCGGCAUGCCUUACAUAUGCAAGUCAAACGGCAGCACGGGUGCUUGCACCUGGUGGCGAGUGGCGAACGGGUGAGUAAUACAUCGGAACGUACCUUAUCGUGGGGGAUAACGCAGCGAAAGCUGUGCUAAUACCGCAUACGCCCUGAGGGGGAAAGCGGGGGAUCGAAAGACCUCGCGCGAUUAGAGCGGCCGAUGCCUGAUUAGCUUGUUGGUGGGGUAAAAGCCCACCAAGGCGACGAUCAGUAGCUGGUCUGAGAGGACGAUCAGCCACACUGGGACUGAGACACGGCCCAGACUCCUACGGGAGGCAGCAGUGGGGAAUUUUGGACAAUGGGGGCAACCCUGAUCCAGCAAUGCCGCAUGAGUGAAGAAGGCCUUCGGGUUGUAAAGCUCUUUUGUCAGGGAAGAAACACCGGCUCUAACACAGUCCGGGAAUGACGGUACCUGAAGAAUAAGCACCGGCUAACUACGUGCCAGCAGCCGCCGUAA